AACGAACGCUGGCGGCGUGGAUAAGACAUGCAAGUCGAACGAGGAAUUUCCGGAGCUUGCUUUGGAAAUUCCUAGUGGCGAACGGGUGAGUAACACGUGGGCAACGUGCCCAGAAGUUUGGGAUAGCCCGAGGAAACUCGGAUUAAUACCGGAUGUGGCCGGGAAAGGCAUCUUUCCUUGGCUAAAGGCGGGGCAACCUGUCGCUUCUGGAUCGGCCCGCGGCCUAUCAGCUUGAUGGUGAGGUAACGGCUCACCAUGGCUACGACGGGUAACUGGUCUGAGAGGAUGAUCAGUCACACUGGAACUGAGACACGGUCCAGACACCUACGGGUGGCAGCAGUCGAGAAUCAUUCGCAAUGGGCGAAAGCCUGACGGUGCGACGCCGCGUGGAGGAUGACGGCCCUAGGGUUGUAAACUCCUGUCAUCAGUGAGUAAGGCUUACGGAAGUAACUGUCCGGAAGUUCGAUAGUAGCUGAAGAGGAAGAGACGGCUAACUCUGUGCC
RNAcentral lists this ribosomal RNA (503 nucleotides) under uncultured bacterium. RNAcentral describes it as "bacterial SSU rRNA". It matches the Rfam family "Bacterial small subunit ribosomal RNA", at positions 29 to 509 of the family's 1533-position model. The record is from RNAcentral.